GGAUGGUGGUUGGAUGCUUGUUCAGCAGCUAACUUGAAUGGGGCAUAUUUAGAAGUCAAUGACGUGGUCUUUCCUGCUGCCUCUGGAAUCAAUUGGUUGACAUGGAGAGGAAAUGGUUGUUAACUGAAGGCAACUAAAAUGAUGAUUAAACGACAAUAAGAACCAUUCGUUUUAAGAAAUAUACAAGUCUAGUAUUUAAUCCCAGGAAAAUAGUGGUU
RNAcentral lists this long non-coding RNA (218 nucleotides) under Mytilus galloprovincialis (Mediterranean mussel). Lineage: Eukaryota; Metazoa; Mollusca; Bivalvia; Mytilida; Mytilidae. The record is from RNAcentral.